CAUUCAUCUAUGAACUCAUCAGUGGAUUAAUACAGUGAUGAAUAUACUGUCUUCAUGAUUCUAUCACUCCAAAAGCCCCACUUCUGAAAGCUCUGAAGGCACCCACAGAACACCCCUCUAUGAAGUGCCUAUCAAGGGAGAAGAAAAUUACAUUCCUCAAUAAAUGUCCUUUUUCACUAGAAAAAUGUUUUUUCAUCAUAAGGAUUUGCAACUAUUUCAUCACUGCCAGCAGAUGGAGACCCUUGAGUGUUUCCAUAUAUGGACUGUGGGUGUGUGUGUGCGCGUGCGCGCGCGCACGUGUUGUAAGUAACAAUAUACAAUGAAAAGGAGAAAGUGCUAAGGACUCCCAACUCCAUAAUCUGUCACAUGGACUGACAUUCGUAGGUGAGAUUUCCAAAGACAGAAUUUUUACAUCACUGAGGCUGGGGGAAAGGACAGUGAGGAUGUCCAGGUGGUGAACUUCUCUCUCGAUAGGGGGAAAGAGCCAUUUUCUCCCUUCUCUCCUAGGCUUUACUUAGAAUCCAGUAGAUCUUUUAUCACCUCCCCUAAUACCAUUUCUCUCUCUCUUUUUUUUUUUUUUUUUUU
Long non-coding RNA from Chinchilla lanigera (long-tailed chinchilla), 585 nucleotides. RefSeq lists it as uncharacterized. NCBI's taxonomy places the organism in Eukaryota, Metazoa, Chordata, Mammalia, Rodentia, Chinchillidae. The record is from RefSeq and is a predicted model, not a curated record. The transcript has 2 exons.